Molecule: ribosomal RNA, 894 nt
Filed under: Staphylococcus sp. 9-16
Lineage: Bacteria; Bacillati; Bacillota; Bacilli; Caryophanales; Staphylococcaceae
Description: bacterial SSU rRNA
Rfam family: Bacterial small subunit ribosomal RNA
Source: RNAcentral
UUCAGGGCUUUUUGAUUAUAACGAACCGUCGAGCGAACAGAUGAGAAGCUUGCUUCUCUGAUGUUAGCGGCGGAUGGGUGAGUAACACGUGGGUAACCUACCUAUAAGACUGGGAUAACUCCGGGAAACCGGGGCUAAUACCGGAUAAUAUUUUGAACCGCAUGGUUCAAUAGUGAAAGACGGUUUCGGCUGUCACUUAUAGAUGGACCCGCGCCGUAUUAGCUAGUUGGUAAGGUAACGGCUUACCAAGGCGACGAUACGUAGCCGACCUGAGAGGGUGAUCGGCCACACUGGAACUGAGACACGGUCCAGACUCCUACGGGAGGCAGCAGUAGGGAAUCUUCCGCAAUGGGCGAAAGCCUGACGGAGCAACGCCGCGUGAGUGAUGAAGGUCUUCGGAUCGUAAAACUCUGUUGUUAGGGAAGAACAAAUUUGUUAGUAACUGAACAAGUCUUGACGGUACCUAACCAGAAAGCCACGGCUAACUACGUGCCAGCAGCCGCGGUAAUACGUAGGUGGCAAGCGUUAUCCGGAAUUAUUGGGCGUAAAGCGCGCGUAGGCGGUUUCUUAAGUCUGAUGUGAAAGCCCACGGCUCAACCGUGGAGGGUCAUUGGAAACUGGGAAACUUGAGUGCAGAAGAGGAGAGUGGAAUUCCAUGUGUAUCGGUGAAAUGCGCAGAGAUAUGGAGGAACACCAGUGGCGAAAGGCUGCUCUCUGGUCUGUAACUGACGCUGAUGUGCGAAAGCGUGGGGAUCAAACAGGAUUAGAUACCCUGGUAGUCCACGCCGUAGACGAUGAGUGCUAAGUGUUAGGGGGUUUCCGCCCCUUAGUGCUGCAGCUAACGCAUUACCCACUCCCCCUGGGGAGUACGACCGCCCGGUUGAAACUCAAAGG